UUGCUAUUUUUCAUUUUCUCCCUCAUUUAUUUUUCUCUUCUAUCAAUUUCACCAGAGAUCGUUAAUUUCAUCCUCAAUUCCUCUCUUCUCCCUCUUCUUUUUUCGUUCCUGGAUAUUCCUGGAGUGGGACCCUCACUAAAUCUUUUUUCUGAUGGAGGAUGUAAAAGUUGCUGAAGUUAUGCCUCCUCCAGAUUCAUCUUCAUCCUCCCAAGAUAACAAUCAUUCUCAAAAGGAAGGCUCAAUAAGCAC
Molecule: unclassified non-coding RNA, 249 nt
Filed under: Hevea brasiliensis (rubber tree)
Lineage: Eukaryota; Viridiplantae; Streptophyta; Magnoliopsida; Malpighiales; Euphorbiaceae
Source: RNAcentral